Molecule: ribosomal RNA, 801 nt
Filed under: uncultured archaeon
Lineage: Archaea
Description: bacterial SSU rRNA
Rfam family: Archaeal small subunit ribosomal RNA
Source: RNAcentral
UUCGCCCUUUUCCGGUUGAUCCCGCCGGACCCCACUGCUAUCGGGAUAGGACUAAGACAUGCAAGUCAAGCGCUUUCUAGCUAAUGUGAGAGCGCGGCGUACAGCUCAGUAACACGUGGCCAACCUGCCCUUGGGACGGGAACACCCCCGGGAAACUGGGGUUAAUUCCCGAUAGGUGAAGAAGUCUGGAAUGACUCUUCGCUCAAAAGACGUUUAUGUCAUGCUCAUAUUCGUCGCCCAGGGAUGGGGCCGCGACCGAUCAGGUUGUUGGUGAGGCAAUGGCUCACCAAGCCUUUUACCGGUGCGGGCCGUGAGAGCGGGAGCCCGGAGAUGGGCACUGAGACAAAGGCCCAGGCCCCACGGGGCGCAGCAGUCGCGAAAAUUUUGCAAUACACGAAAGUGUGACAGAGCUAUCCCGAGUGCCAUCCGCUGAGGAAGGCUUUUACCCAGUAUAAAUAGCUGGGAGAAUAAGGAGAGGGCAAGUCUGGUGUCAGCCGCCGCGGUAAUACCAGCUCUCCGAGUAGUGUGGACGUUUAUUGGGCCUAAAGCAUCCGUAGCUUGCUAGAUAAGUCCUCUGUUAAAUCCACCGAUUCAAUCGUUGGAUUGCGGGGGAUACUGUUUGGCUAGGGGACGGGAGAGGUCGACGGUAUUUCCGGGGUAGGGGUGAAAUCCUAUAAUCCCGGGAGGACCACCAGUGGCGAAGGCUGUCGACUAGAACGCGCCCGACGGUGAGGGAUGAAAGCUGGGGGAGCGAACCGGAUUAGAUACCCGGGUAGUCCCAGCUGUAAACGAUGCAGGCUA